UAAAUAAAACUGGAGACUCUAUAUGAAAUGUUUCUAUGUUGCUAAAAACAGAAGAAAAGAAACAAGGCAAGAUAUCGUUUCACUCGCCCUUUUUUUGAUUGGCGAUUUGAUUGUUGCUUGUCUACAU
This is a non-coding RNA of Thalictrum thalictroides, 127 nucleotides long. The record is from the annotation of a GenBank genome assembly. NCBI's taxonomy places the organism in Eukaryota, Viridiplantae, Streptophyta, Magnoliopsida, Ranunculales, Ranunculaceae.